This 478-nucleotide ribosomal RNA is filed under the name uncultured bacterium. RNAcentral's name for it is "partial 16S ribosomal RNA". It matches the Rfam family "Bacterial small subunit ribosomal RNA", at positions 28 to 523 of the family's 1533-position model. The record is from RNAcentral.
GACGAACGCUGGCGGCGUGCUUAACACAUGCAAGUCGAACGGUAAGGCCCUUCGGGGUACACGAGUGGCGAACGGGUGAGUAACACGUGGGUGAUCUGCCCUGCACUUCGGGAUAAGCCUGGGAAACUGGGUCUAAUACCGGAUAGGACCCUGGGAUGCAUGUCCUGGGGUGGAAAGCUUUUGCGGUGUGGGAUGGGCCCGCGGCCUAUCAGCCUGUUGGUGGGGUGAUGGCCUACCAAGGCGACGACGGGUGGCCGGCCUGAGAGGGUGACCGGCCACACUGGGACGGAGAUACGGCCCAGACUCCUACGGGAGGCAGCAGUGGGGAAUAUUGCACAAUGGGCGCAAGCCUGAUGCAGCGACGCCGCGUGAGGGAUGACGGCCUUCGGGUUGUAAACCUCUUUCAGCACCGACGAAGCGCAAGUGACGGUAGGUGCAGAAGAAGGACCGGCCAACUACGUGCCAGCCGCCGCCGUAA